GACGAACGCUGGCGGCGUGCUUAACACAUGCAAGUCGAACGGAAAGGCCCUGCUUUUGUGGGGUGCUCGAGUGGCGAACGGGUGAGUAACACGUGAGUAACCUGCCCUUGACUUUGGGAUAACUUCAGGAAACUGGGGCUAAUACCGGAUAGGAGCUCCUGCUGCAUGGUGGGGGUGGGAAAGUUUCGGCGGUUGGGGAUGGACUCGCGGCUUAUCAGCUUGUUGGUGGGGUAGUGGCUUACCAAGGCUUUGACGGGUAGCCGGCCUGAGAGGGUGACCGGCCACAUUGGGACUGAGAUACGGCCCAGACUCCAACGGGAGGCAGCAGUGGGGAAUAUUGCACAAUGGGAGGAAGCCUGAUGCAGCAACGCCGCGUGCGGGAUGACGGCCUUCGGGUUGUGAACCGCUUUCGCCUGUGACGAAGCGUGAGUGACGGUAAUGGGUAAAGAAGCACCGGCUAACUACGUG
Molecule: ribosomal RNA, 468 nt
Filed under: uncultured bacterium
Lineage: Bacteria
Description: partial 16S ribosomal RNA
Rfam family: Bacterial small subunit ribosomal RNA
Source: RNAcentral